This 429-nucleotide ribosomal RNA is filed under the name Vibrio agarilyticus. Its description in RNAcentral is "Vibrio sp. SM6 partial 23S ribosomal RNA". It matches the Rfam family "Bacterial large subunit ribosomal RNA", at positions 1 to 460 of the family's 2925-position model. Lineage: Bacteria; Pseudomonadati; Pseudomonadota; Gammaproteobacteria; Vibrionales; Vibrionaceae. The record is from RNAcentral.
GGGUUGUGAGGUUAAGCGACUAAGCGUACACGGUGGAUGCCCUGGCAGUCAGAGGCGAUGAAGGACGUGCUAAUCUGCGAAAAGCGUCGGUAAGGUGAUAUGAACCGUUACAGCCGGCGAUGUCCGAAUGGGGAAACCCAGUGCAAUUCGUUGCACUAUCGUUAACUGAAUACAUAGGUUAACGAGGCGAACCGGGGGAACUGAAACAUCUAAGUACCCCGAGGAAAAGAAAUCAACCGAGAUUCCCCCAGUAGCGGCGAGCGAACGGGGAGCAGCCCAGAGUCUGAAUCAGCUUGUGUGUUAGUGGAACGGUCUGGAAAGUCCGACGGUACAGGGUGAUAGUCCCGUACACCAAAAUGCACAGGCUGUGAACUCGAAGAGUAGGGCGGGACACGUGGUAUCCUGUCUGAAUAUGGGGGGACCAUCCUC